CCUGCAACAUCUUCCAAACACGGGGCUGGAGAUUCCAGUCAAAAGUUCAAAGAAGAUCACACAGUGCCUGGGCCAUCUUCUGCUAGACAACAUGGACAGGUAAUUUCCCCACAAAUUCAAGGUUCCUCACACCCUUCCCGAUCUAGCCAAGGAUAUCUGGGAUCUUCCACUUCUCCCCAAGAUGCUCAGGGACUGUCCCUAUCAACCCAACAUGCUCAGGGACUGUCCCUAUCAACCCAAGAUGUUCUAGAACUAACCAGAUAUUUCCAAGAGUCUAUGGGACAUUCCACAUCUGCCCACGCAUCCGAAAGACUUCCCACUUGUGCUGAAAGGAAAAUCAUACAUGCCUCCUCUUCCAGAAGGAGUUCCAAAAGGUUACCCCCUACCCUACAUAACUCUAAUCUUUACAAUUCUCCUACAAAGCAUGUUGGACAAGACUCCUCUGGUCAAGGGGACCUACAACAGGCC
RNAcentral lists this long non-coding RNA (468 nucleotides) under Mus musculus (house mouse). RNAcentral's name for it is "predicted gene, 17521 (ENSMUSG00000094864.3)". The record is from RNAcentral. Lineage: Eukaryota; Metazoa; Chordata; Mammalia; Rodentia; Muridae.